Molecule: ribosomal RNA, 253 nt
Filed under: uncultured bacterium
Lineage: Bacteria
Description: partial 16S ribosomal RNA
Rfam family: Bacterial small subunit ribosomal RNA
Source: RNAcentral
UACAGAGGGUGCAAGCGUUGUUCGGAAUUAUUGGGCGUAAAGAGCUUGUAGGCGGUUUGUCGCGUCUGCUGUGAAAUUUCGGGGCUCAACCCCGAACUUGCAGUGGGUACGGGCAGACUAGAGUGUGGUAGGGGAGACUGGAAUUCCUGGUGUAGCGGUGAAAUGCGCAGAUAUCAGGAGGAACACCGAUGGCGAAGGCGGCAUCCUGGACCAAUUCUGACACUGAGGAGCGAAAGCCAGGGGAGCAAACGGG